This is a long non-coding RNA of Peromyscus californicus insignis, 1422 nucleotides long. RefSeq lists it as uncharacterized. Lineage: Eukaryota; Metazoa; Chordata; Mammalia; Rodentia; Cricetidae. The transcript has 3 exons. The record is from RefSeq and is a predicted model, not a curated record.
UGCCUAGCAAGCAGUUUCCUUGGGAAAAGUCAUGGGGUUCAGAAUGAUGGGUGAAAGAAUGACAUGAGAAGCAGAGGCAAAGGCAGGAGAAGGAUACUGAAAUGGAUGCUGAAAAGGAUGCUGAGAGUGAAUGGAGGAAAAGAAGGUUUGAUCAAAAAGGAACAGAGAGCCCUUAUUUGUGGAUUCCAAUAUUUCUAAUAAGAAGACUGAAACAGAAUUUAACAGAUGAAUCAGCUACAAAACAUUAUUUUCCAGAACAACAAUACAUGGUCAGUGGAUUGUGGUGACCUCAGGAGCAAGUGUGCAUUGAAAGUUUAUGACCACGUGAUGGGUGAACAAAGAAGUCCCUUGCUUCAAAGAGGAUGCCCCAGCAAAGGGAAAAUUUCAGUGUGCCCAGUGCCAUCUGAGAAGUGCAUAUGGGUCAUUACAGGACUGUGUAAGAAGACUAUAGGGCUCUGGCCAAGUGUACAUUGAAUCAUUUUUCUCUCCUCUCUGUUAACAUCUCUAAAUCAGGCGGAAAUGGUGCUUUCCCAUGGCUCUCCCCUGCAACAGAUGCUUUCUCCAUAGCACAAAGGAUCCUUAAAUUGUUCUCCUCUAAACACAAUGGCUCCAUGACAUCCAUUUCUGUGAACACAUUGCUGCACUUUUUUCUAACAUGUUAUUUUCCCAGUGGCUAUUUAUCAUCUGCUCUGUGUUUGCCUAAUGAACUAAAAGUGCAAGGCAAGGAAAUAAACCUGAGCAAAACAACAGAAAGGCAACCAUGAACCAUUGAUUUAGCAGAGGAGAAGAGGGGAAAAAUAGAAAGACCGUAGAAACUCAGCUACCUCUGAAUACCAGGAAAUAGCAUCUGUGUUUCUCAAGAAGUUAAGAGCACCAACUGUGCCAAGUAGAGGGCACUGGAAGGGGGAUGAGCCAGCCACAUUUUAAUAGAAAGAAAAGAAGAAAACAGAGAGAAAGAAGCUAUUCAUACUCCAUGUGACCACACACUGUAGCUUCUUAUAUUGAGACAUGAAAUAAUCAGAGUACUCCAAUGCCUAGAACUACUCAUGCUAAUCCAUUCAGACUUCCAUAAGAAAUACCAUAGAGUGGGGGCUUUCCCAAUAGAAAUAUAUCUGCUACAGUCUGGUGGUGAUGCAAAACAUCAGUAGAAAACAAUAUAAAACGUGGGACUAAAAAGUUAAUUCCUGGAUCCACAUCUUGUAGAAUCAGAGUCAACUGCAGCAGCAUCUAGAGCCGUGAGUGCCUUAGGCACACCAUCAAGGCUAUCAGAAUGGAUAGAAUGCCGGGCGGUGGUGGCGCACGCCUUUAAUCCCAGCACUCGGGAGGCAGAGCCAGGUGGAUCUCUGUGAGUUCGAGGCCAGCCUGGUCUCCAAAGCGAGUACCAGGAAAGGCGCAAAGCUACACAGAGAAACCCUGUCUCGA